This is a long non-coding RNA of Gossypium arboreum, 1777 nucleotides long. RefSeq lists it as uncharacterized. Lineage: Eukaryota; Viridiplantae; Streptophyta; Magnoliopsida; Malvales; Malvaceae. The record is from RefSeq and is a predicted model, not a curated record. The transcript has 6 exons.
AUUUUGUAAAUUAAUUAAAAUAACCUAAUAAGACAAAUGAUAGCUUGUUUCAUUCUUUCUUCUUCAACCGUGGGAAAGAACUGAAAAUGGCAGCCAUGGAUGAGCUCCAUUCAGCCAAGCUUCUACGGAUUAUAUAGAUGAUGAAAAUUGAGACUUGGACCUAGAACGGAAAGAAAUCGAUUUAUGGACGAGUACGUCCUUUUCACAUUUGUGGUAUCGAGAGUUUCCAGGUUAGCUCGGGUUGGAGGCCGUCAGAGAUAUUAUCACCCUAUCGAGUUAACGUUAUCGGAGUAAGUAAACUCAAGUGAUUCGAGUCUAUGGCAUGUAUAGGGUUUUAAUGUGAGUAUGUAAUAUUAUGAUUUAGCCAAAGGCAUUGGCUUGUUAUUAAGGUAGUAUUAGUCAUGUAAAUUGGCCUAUGUCGCUAAUGACAUUAUGGGCCCAUAUGAUUAUUCUUAUGCAUGUAUGUUAUUAUCUCUUGUAAUGUGGCUUACAACAUGUAUGCCUAGACAUUGAAUUGAGAUUCAUGGAUGAGCUAGUAACUAAUGCAGGAUUAAGUGAUUGGUAAAUAGUUAAUAAUGCUUCAUGAAUGGUUUGUGAUGUAAUGAUAGUUAUGUCUAGUAUGUGGUAAUGAUAUGGGCAAAUUCUAUAAUAUUUAUUACAUAAGAAAAUAACUUGAGCAUAUCAUGUUUGUAGAUGUUUAAGAGCUCAUUUAUGCCACGUUGUAUGUUAUUGGAUAAGUAUGUAUCUAUGCAUGUGGUGUGAGAGUGACAAAAGGCUUGAUAAUUAGACUAUUUCGCCACACGGCCGAGCACAUGGGCGUGUGAAGCCUUAACGCAAGAGAUUUUCUAAGUUUUCAUGAGUUCUCGAUUGGGUCCCGAACCGCCUGAAUGCAUGUAUUGGGCCUCGUAAGCUCGCAUAAGGGACAAAUUGCAUGUGAAAAGAAAAGUUUUAAUUAUUUGAGAUUUCAUAGUACAUUUAGUAUGGAAGUGUUAGUAAAAGUCGGUAGCACCUCGAACCCCGUCCCGGCGUCGGAUGCGGGCGAGGGGUGUUACAUUUAGUGGUAUCAGAGCAUGGUUUAGUCGGUUCUCGGACUAACCUAGCGUAAGAGAGUCUUGUUAUACAUGCCAUAGUAUUACUCGUGAUAGUGUGAUAUCUCUCGGCCCUAACAAAAUUGUUGAUUAAGACAGGAAUGAGUUCCAACCGAGCAAAUCUUGAUAGAGAUAAGAGUAAAGUUGAGAUUAUUGAAUCAUGCUUAUGAUAUGCUGAAAAUUUGGAAAGAACUGAAAAUGGCAGCCAUGGAUGAGCUCCAUUCAGCCAAGCUUCUACGGAUUAUAUAGAUGAUGAAAAUUGAGACUUGGACCUAGAACGGAAAGAAAUCGAUUUAUGGACGAGUACGUCCUUUUCACAUUUGUGGUAUCGAGAGUUUCCAGGUUAGCUCGGGUUGGAGGCCGUCAGAGAUAUUAUCACCCUAUCGAGUUAACGUUAUCGGAGUAAGUAAACUUAAGUGAUUCGAGUCUAUGGCAUGUAUAGGGUUUUAAUGUGAGUAUGUAAUAUUAUGAUUUGGCCAAAGGCAUUGGCUUAUUAUUAAGGUAGUAUUAGUCAUGUAAAUUGGCCUAUGUCAGCUAAUGACAUUAUGGGCCCAUAUGAUUAUUCUUAUGCAUGUAUGUUAUUAUCUCUUGUGAUGUGGCUUACAACAUGUAUGCCUAGAGAUUGAAUUGAGAUUCAUUGAUGAGCUAGUAACUAAUGCAGGAUUAAGUGAUUGGUAAAUAGUUAAUAA